RNAcentral lists this long non-coding RNA (1923 nucleotides) under Gallus gallus (chicken). RNAcentral's name for it is "lncRNA (ENSGALG00010010151.1)". The record is from RNAcentral. Lineage: Eukaryota; Metazoa; Chordata; Aves; Galliformes; Phasianidae.
CCUGGUACUGCCACAAAGGGAGCCAUUGGGGGGCCCAUAGGGACCCAGAGAGAUUCAGGUACUGCCACAAAGGGAGCCAUUGGGAACCUCAUAGGGACCCAGAGAGAUUCAGGUACUGCCACAAAGGGAGCCGUGGGGAGCCCCAUAGGGAACCAGACAGAUUCAGGUACUGCCACAAAGGGAGCCAUUGGGAGGCCCAUAGGGAGCCAGAUCCAUCCUGGUACUGCCACAAAGGGAGCCAUUGGGGGGCCCAUAGGGACCCAGAGAGAUUCAGGUACUGCCACAAAGGGAGCCAAUGUGGGGCCCAUAGGGAGCCAGAGCCAUCCUGGUACUGCCACAAAGGGAGCGAUUGGGGGGCCCAUAGGGACCCAGAGAGAUUCAGGUACUGCCACAAAGGGAGCCAUAGGGAACCUCAUAGGGACCCAGAGAGAUUCAGGUACUGCCACAAAGGGAGCCGUGGGGAGCCCCAUAGGGAGCCAGAGCCAUCCUGGUACUGCCACAAAGGGAGCCGUGGGGAGCCCCAUAGGGAGCCAGAGAGAUUCAGGUACUGCCACAAAGGGAGCUAUGGGGAGUCCCAUAGGGAGUCAUAUAGACCCCAGGUACUGCCACAAAGGGAGCUGUGGUGAGUCAUAUAGGGAGCCAUACAGACAUGAGGUACUGCCACAAAGGGAGCCGUUGGGAACCUCAUAGGGACCCAGAGAGAUUCAGGUACUGCCACAAAGGGAGCCACUGGGAAUCCCUUAGGGAGCCAGAGCCAUCCUGGUAUUGCCACAAAGUGAUCCGUUUGGAAACCCCAUAGGGAGCCAUACAGAUCCAGGUAUUGCCACAAAGUGAACCAGCAAGAAUCCUAUAGGGAUCCAUACCAUUCCCCGGCACUGCCAGAUAGCGAGCGUGUGACCCCAUACCCCUUAUAGUACCACGUGACCCCAUUCCCCCAUAGGGCCAUCUGACCCCAUACCCCCACAGGGCUGUGUGACCCCAUACCACCCAUAGCCGUUAUAGGGCUGUCUGACCCUAUUGCCCCCAUAGGGCUGUCUGACCCCAUUGCCCUCAUAGGGCUGUGUGACCCCAUUGCACCCAUAGGGCUGUAUGACCCCAUACCCGUUAUAGUACCACAUGACCCCAUACCCCCUAUAGGGCUGUCUGUCCCCGUACCUCUUAUAGGGCUGUGUGACCCCAUUCCCCCAUAGGGCUGUGUGACCCCAUACCUGCUAUAGUACCACAUGACCCCAUUCCCACAUAGGGCUGUGUGACCCCAUACCCCCAUAGGGCUGUGUGACCCCAUACCCGUUAUAGUACCACGUGACCCCAUUCCCCCCAUAGGGCUGUCUGACCCCAUUCCCCCCAUAGGGCUGUCUGACCCCAUACCCCUAUAGUACCACGUGACCCCAUUCCCCCCCCAUAGGGCUGUGUGACCCCAUACCCCUUAUAGUACCACGUGACCCCAUAACCCUAUAGGGCUGUAUGACCCCAUACCACCCAUACCCAUUAUAGGGCUGUCUGACCCCAUACCCCCAUAGGGCUGUAUGACCCCAUACCCGUUAUAGUACCACGUGACCCCAUACCCCCAUAGGGCUGUAUGACCCCAUUCCCCCCAUAGGGCUGUAUGACCCCAUACCCGUUAUAGUACCACAUGACCCCAUUCCCCCCAUAGGGCUGUCUGACCCCAUACCCCUAUAGUACCACGUGACCCCAUUCCCCCCCCCAUAGGGCUGUGUGACCCCAUUCCCCCAUAGGGCUGUGUGACCCCAUACCCCUAUAGUACCCACGUGACCCCAUUCCCCCAUAGGGCUGUAUGACCCCAUACCCGUUAUAGUACCACGUGACCCCAUACCCCCAUAGGGCUGUAUGACCCCAUACCCCUUAUAGUACCACGUGACCCCACACCCGUUAUAGUACCACGUGACCCCAUUCUCCCCCCCC